CGGCUCGGGCUAUAAACUUCCCACUGGCCAAAAUAAAAAUUUGGAAGUAGAAGGUAAUAUGGUAAUACCA
This is a long non-coding RNA of Bradysia coprophila, 70 nucleotides long. The record is from RefSeq and is a predicted model, not a curated record. NCBI's taxonomy places the organism in Eukaryota, Metazoa, Arthropoda, Insecta, Diptera, Sciaridae.